UAGCUCGCCGAGGCUGGGCAGUGGGAGAGGCUCUCAGACCGACGGCAAGUUCUGGCACCUGCCAGGAAGUUAGCUGUCUUCUGGCCUGGAAGCCUGAAGUCUUGUGCAGAGCUCCUGUGCAGGCAGAGUGUGCUGCCCCCUGGCCCUCAGGACCAGACUCACUGUGUGAUCCUGUAUCACAGGAGCAGUGGAAGACCAACGCGGGCGUGACGAGCGGGGCUAAGCCUGUGCGGGUGGCAGAGAUUAAAACCACAACAGGACCAUGUCAUAAGUAGCUCUACAGUCCUAGAAUCAGUGGAUACAUUCCUCAAAAAAAAAAAAAAAAAAUCUAACUUGCCAAUACCGGCUGAAGGAAAUUGACAAGACCGGAAAGUCCAAAUGGCAUUUAAAAAGUUGAGUAAGUAAAAAUUUCCGGCAAGAAAACAGAAGCUCCAGUCGGUUUUGUGGACUGGUUCUACCAAAUAUUCAAGGAAGAGAGAAUUCAAUUUUUUUUUUUUUUACAUUUAUUUAUUUUUUGAGAGACAGAGAGAGACAGAGCACAAGCAGAGGAGGAGCAGAGAGAGAGGGAGACGCAGAAUCCGAAGCAGGCUCCAGGCUCCGAGCUGUCAGCACAGAGCCCCACGCAGGGCUCGAACUCACAUGACCUGAGCUGAAGUCAGAUGCUUAACCCACUGAGCCACCCAGGUGCCCUGGGGAGAAUUCGAAUUUUAAACUGUCCCAGAGAGUGGACAGAAUCCAUGUAUUUUAUGAGGUUAGACUUGAUAAGAACAGUGUGAGAAACGAAAUUCCAAUCUCAUGAACUUAGACUUAAAAAAGUCCCUGAGACAAUUAGGCAAAUGAAUCUAGCAAUCCUUUAUCCUAGGAAGCCAGGAUUGUUAAAAUUUAGAAGAUCUAUUACUUUUUUUAAAGUUUAUUUAUUUAUUUUUGAGAGAGAGUGCAUGAGCAAGGGAGGGGCAGAGAAAGGGAGGGAGAGAAUCCCAAUCAGGCUCUGCGCCAUCAGCAGGGAGCCCCACGUGGGGCUGGAACUCAUGAACCAUGAGAUCACGACCUGACCCCAAAUCAAGAGUCAGACGCUUAACCGACUGAGCCACCCAGGUGCCCCGAAAAUCUAUUACUUUUGAAUCCCCACUAGAAAAACCGCAUGCUCGUUCAAUAACUACAGGGAAGACACUUCGUAAAAUUCAAACCCCAUUAAUAGUAAAAACUCCCGGCAUGUGGGGGUGAAAGUGAACUUCCUUAAUCUGCUAAAAGGCAUUUACACUUGUAUGAAAUAGAAAGAAAAAAAAAAAAAUUACCCCAGGAGGCUAAGCACAGCUGGCGGGAGUUUCUGUUGGUGCACCUGUUUGCGAAGGGAUUGGGUCACCUAGUGACACUGAAGAUGUGCGUGCCCUGUGAGCCAGCAUCUCCGGUCCUGGGCGUCCAUCCUCGGAGGGAAGGCAGACACGCACGUGAACGUCUGCGGAAGCGUGUCCAGAACGCCUGCCCCCUGGGGGUCACAUAAGAUGUAUUCAGAACUUAAUUUUUUCAAAGUAGUGAAAAUGAGUGAACUGCGUGUAGGAUAACAAAGAACGUCUCAGGAAAAUACAUGUUUGUGUACAAGACCUAGAACAUGCAAAUCUAAGCAGUAUAUGAGAGAUUGAGAGAGGGCCCGAAGGACUGGUAAUUAAAACAAUAAACUAAAGACGGGGCGCCUGGGGGGCUCAGUUGGUUAAGCCGCCGACUUCGGCUCAGGUCAUGAUCUCACAGUUCGUGAGUUCGAGCCCCGCGUCAGGCUCUGUGCUGACAGCUCAGAGCCUGGAGCCUGCUUCGGAUUCUGUGUCUCCCUCUCUCUCUGUCUCUCUCUCUCUCAAAAAUAAAGAAACAUUGGGGAAAAAAAUGCCUGCUUCCUUCGUACUGCUUUCUUGCCGGCCUUAUACCGAAAGCGGGCCUGCUUAGUGCCUGGAGGACUGAGCUGUUCUGCUCAAGGCAAUCUCCCUUUCUCCUCCAGUAUUUCGGUUCCUCAGGCCCUGUUUUCUGACAGAUAAUUCAUAAGAUAACAGAUACUGUGGUUGUGGACGCAUUGAGGAUGUCGGCUAAGUGAUUUGCCUCUCAUCAGAACUUGAUGGCGCUUCGAGGAAAACCCAGUCGUGGGGGGUGAGGGAGGCCAGACUGGGGAUCAGUUCUGAUCCCUGUGAAAUCUCAGCACCAACGCGUCGGUAAACUUUGUGAUGGGAAAGAUACCAUUUUAUCCUUUCUUUCCAAUAUUAAAUGAUGUAAGAAGCACGAUACUGUGUAAUCCUGAGCCCGGCCAUGCGAUGAAAACAUCUCAGUGUGUUUAAAGUGUAUGACAGAGUUCAGGGGCACCUGGGUGGCUCAGUGGGUUAAGCGUCUGACUUCAGCUUGGGUCAUGAUCUCACGGCUCAUGAGUUUGAGCCCCGUGUCAGGCUCUGUGCCGACUGCUAGGAGCCUGGAUCCUGUUUCAGUUCCUUUGCCCCCCUCUCGCCCGC
This is a long non-coding RNA of Panthera uncia (snow leopard), 2486 nucleotides long. RefSeq lists it as uncharacterized. The record is from RefSeq and is a predicted model, not a curated record. NCBI's taxonomy places the organism in Eukaryota, Metazoa, Chordata, Mammalia, Carnivora, Felidae. The transcript is spliced from 3 exons.